RNAcentral lists this transfer RNA (65 nucleotides) under Anoplocnemis curvipes. RNAcentral describes it as "tRNA-Ala". It matches the Rfam family "tRNA". From Rfam's summary of the family: Transfer RNA (tRNA) molecules are approximately 80 nucleotides in length. Lineage: Eukaryota; Metazoa; Arthropoda; Insecta; Hemiptera; Coreidae. The record is from RNAcentral.
GGGGAUGUAGUUAAGAAUAACAUCUAAUUUGCAAUUAGAAGGAACUAAUAUUAGUCUUCCUCAUA